UGGGGAAUAUUGCACAAUGGGCGAAAGCCUGAUGCAGCAACGCCGCGUGAGGGAAGAAGGUAUUCGUAUUGUAAACCUCUGUCUUUGGUGAAGAAAAAAAUGACGGUAGCCAAGGAGGAAGCCACGGCUAACUACGUGCCAGCAGCCGCGGUAAUACGUAGGUGGCAAGCGUUGUCCGGAUUUACUGGGUGUAAAGGGUGCGCAGGCGGGUAUGUAAGUUGGGUGUGAAAACUAUGGGCUCAACCCAUAGCUUGCAUCCAAAACUAUGUAUCUUGAGUGAAGUAGAGGUAGGCGGAAUUCCGAGUGUAGCGGUGAAAUGCGUAGAUAUUCGGAGGAACACCAGUGGCGAAGGCGGCCUACUGGGCUUUAACUGACGCUGAGGCACGAAAGCAUGGGGAGCAAACAGG
This 407-nucleotide ribosomal RNA is filed under the name uncultured prokaryote. RNAcentral describes it as "bacterial SSU rRNA". It matches the Rfam family "Bacterial small subunit ribosomal RNA", at positions 355 to 776 of the family's 1533-position model. RNAcentral also lists the same sequence under 1 other name. The record is from RNAcentral.